AAUAGAUACCCCGGUAGUCCAUGCCGUAAACGUUGGGCGCUAGGUGUGGGGCUCUUUCCACGAGUUCCGUGCCGCAGCAAACGCAUUAAGCGCCCCGCCUGGGGAGUACGGCCGCAAGGCUAAAACUCAAAGGAAUUGACGGGGGCCCGCACAAGCGGCGGAGCAUGCGGAUUAAUUCGAUGCGACGCGAAGAACCUUACCAAGGCUUGACAUGGGGCGAAAACUGUUAGAGAUAGCAGGUCCGCAAGGGCGCCUCACAGGUGGUGCAUGGUUGUCGUCAGCUCGUGUCGUGAGAUGUUGGGUUAAGUCCCGCAACGAGCGCAACCCUCGUUCUAUGUUGCCAGCACGUUAUGGUGGGGACUCAUAGGAGACUGCCGGGGUCAACUCGGAGGAAAAUGGGGAUGACGUCAAAUCAUCAUGCCCCUUAUGUCUUGGGCUUCACGCAUGCUACAAUGGCCAGUACAAAGGGCUGCGAGACCGUAAGGUGGAGCGAAUCCCAAAAAGCUGGUCUCAGUUCGGAUCGGGGU
RNAcentral lists this ribosomal RNA (527 nucleotides) under uncultured bacterium. RNAcentral describes it as "bacterial SSU rRNA". It matches the Rfam family "Bacterial small subunit ribosomal RNA", at positions 777 to 1304 of the family's 1533-position model. The record is from RNAcentral.